RNAcentral lists this ribosomal RNA (570 nucleotides) under uncultured Alphaproteobacteria bacterium. Its description in RNAcentral is "partial 16S ribosomal RNA". Lineage: Bacteria; Pseudomonadati; Pseudomonadota; Alphaproteobacteria. The record is from RNAcentral.
CGUUGGGAGCUCUCCCAUAUGGUCGACCUGCAGGCGGCCGCGAAUUCACUAGUGAUUCGUAUUACCGCGGCUGCUGGCACGGAGUUAGCCGGAGCUUAUUCUCCCGGUACUGUCAUUAUCAUCCCGGGUAAAAGAGCUUUACAACCCUAAGGCCUUCAUCACUCACGCGGCAUUGCUGGAUCAGGCUUUCGCCCAUUGUCCAAUAUUCCCCACUGCUGCCUCCCGUAGGAGUCUGGGCCGUGUCUCAGUCCCAGUGUGGCUGAUCAUCCUCUCAGACCAGCUAAGGAUCGUCGCCUUGGUGCGCCUUUACCACACCAACUAGCUAAUCCUACGCUGGCUCAUCCCUCGGCGAUAAAUCUUUGGACUUAUCGACAUCAUCCGGUAUUAGCAGUCAUUUCUAACUGUUAUUCCGAACCUAAGGGCAGAUUCCCACGCGUUACGCACCCGUGCGCCACUAUGCCCGAAAGCAUCGUUCGACUUGCAUGUGUUAGGCAUGCCGCCAGCGUUCGUUCUGAGCCAUGAUCAAACUCUAAUCGAAUUCCCGCGGCCGCCAUGGCGGCCGGGAGCAUG